ACCCUUGAACUGUGUGGCAAAGAACAGGAGUUUAAGAGCAUCCUUUUCUCUCUUCGUGAUUUUCACACUCAUGUUGCCAGCGGACUCUUUUAGCCUUCCAGGCUGCAAACAAAAAAAGAUACCCAUUCAGUACUAGAGAUCUCAUUGUUUGCAUCAGAGUCCCUUGCAACUAUUUAGGCACUCACACAGAGGUCAGACACGGUGGUCAGGACUGGAGCCUUCUGGGGAAGUCCACAAGCUUUCUCAUCUUUGUGGUCCCACCAUACCAGAAAUUUGACUGUCUGUUGUGGAGUAAAUUACCUGACUUGAAACGAGCACAGUGACUCAUCGCCAGAAGAUUUUGUCUGCAAGGGUUUGUGACUUGGCACGUUGCUUCUUUAAAUACUUUUGCAAGCACUUACUUGGCAACUUGGAUUCAGUGUUUUGUAACACAGCUUUGUGUAGCCAGCCUAGUCAUUUUAUGGUUCAGUGUAUUUAGGUCCCAAUUUUCCUAUUUUAAUUAUUUUGUUUUAAGAUCUUACUAUUUAGAAAUGCCUGGGCAGACAUAAAGAGAUGCUUUUUAUUAAGCUGUGCUGUAAUUGAUAGAUUCCCCUAAUACAGCAGUCCAGAGUGCCACAACCCUCAACACUUCUACUUAAUUGCUUAAGUGUCUUCUUCUCUGGAUAAACAAUAGCAUGGAAACAUUAUACAUUUCCUUUCAUUUUUGCAUUCCCAAACCAGAGAGAACAGCUUACAAGAGUGCACAGUGUUCCUCAUGGCUCUCUCACAUGUCUGUUUCUGUAGCUGCAGCUUUCUCAGAUUGCCACCAGCUGAUGCAUACUGUGUGAUUUGAACUUUGCCUUUGAGUUUUGGUCCCGGAUGGCAGUGCAUGUAGAGCACCUACGAGUCUAAGGUGCAAAACUGCCACAGCUGCUUCUAUUCAGAAACAAAGGGCAGAACUUCUAAGGGUACAAGAAGAAAAUGUUACUUUUAGUUCUAAAAGUCUUGCAUGGGAAAUACUUUAAUCUGUUUUCAUAUGUGAACAUCCACAUCGAUCUGUAUAAAAUGUGGAUGAAUAUACAGAUAAGAACCAACCCUGUCUGAUUCCCCUCUGCUGUUGAACUAGUCACUUCAGAGAAUUUACUGCAUACAAUUUGCUGAAAUCACCCGAGAGCUUUUCCAAGUGCCCUUUCCAGACUUGUUAUUUUUCUUUGUCCAGAGGUAAAAAGGUUUUUUGGAAGAAAAAAAAAAGAAUUAACAUGUUAUGUUGGAGCGGGCCAUUUGCCGAGCCUGGCUAGCUUAGGGAAAGUGCACUUUUCACCCUUAACUCUGCCAUAAGGUUCCAAGCAAAAUGAGUCUGCUCGCAUCUCCCUGUCCCUAACGGGUGGGUUUUCAUAUGUCAAAAAGCCACACGCAGAUUAACACAAUUGGAAGGAACUGUUCUGAAGAAGAGGCCCAAGAGGAAGUUGCCAUGGAGAUGAGGAGGCUAAACACUACUGUACUUGUGACCUCCGCCGGGAUGAUUUCUCCACAUGACAGCGGAGGUUGCGGGGGCACACGGGGGAGCUGGUUCUGCCCAUCCCUGCUCUGCAUCCAGCCCUUGGGUCUUAGUCCACAAGCUCAAGCUCUCUGGAUGACUUGCUCAUUAUUAAUUCAAAACAGACAAAAAGCACCUGUAAUAUUGCCUAUCACACUCCGGGUUUUGGAUACUAUGACCCUGGAUGCACCUUUGAGAGCCUGGGCACGAUGACGUUAGAUGGGGCACCAUUGACCAGAAGGGGACUUCCCCGUCUUUCUUGAAAUGAGGAGCUCAGAACCAGACACACUACUCCAUAUUUGGCCUCUCAGAUACAGAGUAGAAGGGAAGGAUCACUUCUUCUUAAUGCAUCCCAGGAUACCAUUGGCCUUCUUGGCCACAAAGGCACACUGCUAAUUCAUGGACAACCUGUUGACCAUCAGGACAUCUACGUCCUCCUCUGCGGAGCUCCUUUCCAGCAGGUAAGAAAAAAAAAAGGAAAAAGCCACCAACAUAUACAUACUGCCUUUACUGGAACUGCUUUCUUCUUCACAUCCUCCCCACUUGAAGCAAAGCCUUCAAACGCAUCAGUUUCAGAAUCAGUGUCUUCAGUGAAAAUCUUCUGCAGCUCUUCGGUAAGGUAUCUGGACUGGUAUCGAAUGCCCUGUAAAAAUAACAGCCAGAAGCUAUAAGAAAGUCAUAUACAAAGUAGUGACACAGUUAGAAUGAACAUGUUCAAAGGCUUAAUCAAGUACUAACUAGAUGAUAUAUACUGUGAAGAUAUGUUGCAGGCAAAGCCUGUCAAAAGAAAAAAAAAGUAGAAAACAUUCAGUUUCAGCUCUGAGUUAUUUUAACUUAUCGAGUUGGUUUUUUUUGGUCGUUUUGAGCACAAGACUAACUGAGCUUGGUCUCACAGCAGAAACUUGAUUACUUUGUCCUCUACUACUACCCAGUAUAAAUAAACUACCAGUUUUCUUGUUUAUAAA
Molecule: long non-coding RNA, 2481 nt
Organism: Gallus gallus (chicken)
Lineage: Eukaryota; Metazoa; Chordata; Aves; Galliformes; Phasianidae
Exons: 5
Source: RefSeq, a predicted model, not a curated record